This 253-nucleotide ribosomal RNA is filed under the name uncultured bacterium. RNAcentral describes it as "partial 16S ribosomal RNA". It matches the Rfam family "Bacterial small subunit ribosomal RNA", at positions 524 to 776 of the family's 1533-position model. The record is from RNAcentral.
UACAGAGGUCCCAAGCGUUGUUCGGAUUCACUGGGCGUAAAGGGUGCGCAGGUGGGUUGGCAAGUUUGAUGUGAAAGCCCCGGGCUUAACCCGGGAAUGGCAUUGAAUACUGCUGAUCUGGAGGAUUGGAGGGGGGACUGGAAUUCUUGGUGUAGCAGUGAAAUGCGUAAAUAUCAAGAGGAACACCAGUGGCGAAGGCGAGUCCCUGGACAAUACCUGACACUGAGGCACGAAAGCCAAGGGAGCAAACAGG